GCCAUCGGGCGUCCAGCACCGAAAAGGGCGGUCUGGACACGCGAGGGAAUCCGGGAGCAGGAAGUUGGCUGACCGAUCAGGAUUUCUAGCUUCUCUGAAGCUCUUGGACGUUCUGGCAGGCAGGGCCCUCCUUCCUCAGUGCGGCCCUCCACAAAAAGGCACCUAGAAAGUCUGGAACCUCCCUGGCUGCACAGGAGCACACAAGUGUCCAGGGAGAAGGGAGAUGAACCCCGAGGGGAGCACGACGGCCUGGCUGCAGCGGCCCACGUGCGUUUGCCACCACAGGGGCCAAGAGCGGCUUCUAGUGACCCCGCGAGGUCAGAAGACGGGACGCCAAGCCAGGCCAGGGUAGAGCCGGCAGGGGGGCCGCCGCAGGAGGCUGGGCCCCCAAAGGCUGGUGUCGCGAGAGGGGCCGGACCGGACAGAGAAUCCCCCGCAGCAAAACAACCCUGUGGGUGCUCUACAGCCUGUCACCCCCAGCUGGGAGUUUAGUCACACACAGAGCUACGCAGAGGGUUGGGUUUUCAUUUGCUGUGUGGCUCAGCAAAUGAGUGGUUCUGGGGUCCCCACAGCAGUAGUGAAGUCUCUUCUAGAAGAACAUAGCUCUCAAACCAGACUGCACAGGACUCCCACGGCUGAAACCACAUGACACGAACGCCACGGUUACGGGACAGGAGAGGAGACAGUCUCCGCCAGCAAGAUGCCGCAAAGCAACAAACUCAACCAUGCUCGGAAAAUGGAAUUAGAGAAACCAUGCUCGGAAAAUGGAAUUGGUGGCAUCUGGGAGGCGGCGGGCUGCUCCAGGAUGAACUUUCCCGACUACCGGCUGCCAGAAAUGGGGAACUCAGACUCCAUACCUUUUAUGAGGAGCCUGUGGCCACAGAAGUUGCUGCCGAUGCUCUGGGUGAAGCGUGGAAGGGUUACGUUGUCCGAACCAGCAGUUAUGCUGGUUACGCUUUCUCUCUCUCUCUCUCUCUCUCUCUCAAAUAAAAAACAAUUUUUUUAAUGAGA
Molecule: long non-coding RNA, 1011 nt
Organism: Prionailurus viverrinus (fishing cat)
Lineage: Eukaryota; Metazoa; Chordata; Mammalia; Carnivora; Felidae
Exons: 2
Source: RefSeq, a predicted model, not a curated record